Molecule: ribosomal RNA, 234 nt
Filed under: uncultured bacterium
Lineage: Bacteria
Description: partial 16S ribosomal RNA
Rfam family: Bacterial small subunit ribosomal RNA
Source: RNAcentral
UGAGGAACAUGACCUUCGGCGGGGGAUAGCCGGCCCAACGGCCGGGUAAUACCGCGUACGACCACAUGGGGACAUCCCCGAGUGGUGAAAGUAGCAAUGCGCCGAUGGAGUGCCUCGCGGCCUAUCAGCUAGUUGGUGAGGUAACGGCUCACCAAGGCGACGACGGGUAGCUGGUCUGAGAGGAUGGCCAGCCACAUUGGGACUGAGACACGGCCCAGACUCCUACGGGAGCAG